Non-coding RNA from Fukomys damarensis (Damara mole-rat), 73 nucleotides. The record is from Rfam. NCBI's taxonomy places the organism in Eukaryota, Metazoa, Chordata, Mammalia, Rodentia, Bathyergidae.
AGGGAUUUGGCUCAGUGGUUCCAGCACCUGCCUCGCAAGCAGAAGGACCUGAGUUCGAUCCCCGGUACCCCCC